CGGGACGGGUGAGUAACGCGUGGAUAACCUGCCUCACACUGGGGGAUAACAGUUAGAAAUGGCUGCUAAUACCGCAUAAGCGCGCAGUACCGCAUGGUACGGUGUGAAAAACCCAGGUGGUGUGAGAUGGAUCCGCGUCUGAUUAGCCAGUUGGCGGGGUAACGGCCCACCAAAGCGACGAUCAGUAGCCGACCUGAGAGGGUGACCGGCCACAUUGGGACUGAGACACGGCCCAA
RNAcentral lists this ribosomal RNA (236 nucleotides) under uncultured bacterium. RNAcentral's name for it is "partial 16S ribosomal RNA". It matches the Rfam family "Bacterial small subunit ribosomal RNA", at positions 100 to 334 of the family's 1533-position model. The record is from RNAcentral.